This 219-nucleotide long non-coding RNA is filed under the name Elaeis guineensis (African oil palm). RNAcentral's name for it is "long non-coding RNA (EGUI_LNC051833)". Lineage: Eukaryota; Viridiplantae; Streptophyta; Magnoliopsida; Arecales; Arecaceae. The record is from RNAcentral.
AUAUUUCAGAUGAUCCUGUUUUCUUAUUGUCUAGGUGAGUUAUAUUAUCUAUCUUGGAUUGAUUUUCUUUAUUUUUAAACUCAGAUUGAUUUAUUAUUUCUUCUGAAUAGGCUUUAUCUUUAGACUUAAAAGUUUUAGUAUCUUCAAAUAUUUUUAUUUGUUCAGAUAUAGUUUUUUCUUCAGGUGUUCCUCUUUUUUUAUUCUUAUUUAAGUAUUGUU